AGGGGGCACUUCUAUUUCUUCUAACAAUUAUUAAAACAAUUAUAUAACACCUGGCGUCAAAGAAUGGCGAUGGCGACUGUGAAGAGAGGCGAAAGCGGCGACAAGGGAAUGACCAAGAAUCUUUUCGGAUUUGGUACUCUUAGGAAGAACGAGACUGCCCAGGUAUUUCCUCCUUCCCAAUGUGGUGUUUUAGCAUCGUCACCCCGUCGUCAGGUAAUCCACGAUCUCAAGAAGGGUUUUGUUAUUUCAAAGUUUACAAAGGACGUUUUGCCUGCUUCUCCUGUUAAUGAUUCAGAGUUAUCAAUGCAUCAGAAGCAACCUCCGGUCUUUCCUAGACCUUUUAAUUCUCUCUUUGAUAACUAUAAUUGGUCUGAAAAAGCUCCAGUUUUCUCCUCUUUCAGCUCUUUUCACAAAAAGCUAGGUUUUCCUGCACCGGCCUCAGAUCAGGGUUGGACCACUGUUGUUCGUAAACGAACAAGAAAAUCAAUGGAUAAACUGCUUCGACAUCCUUUUCCGAGUGAUUAUAUGGAGCCCAAGCAACCUCAUCGUUGUUUUAAUUGUGGAGAUGAACGCCAUUCUACAAAAUUUUGUAAAAAGGGAGCUUUUAUCUGUUUCAAGUGCCAUGAAGUAGGUCACAUUGCUAAACAUUGCAGAUCCCAUCUCCGUCCUCAGGACAAAAAGAUUGAUCUAUCAGAUUCUGAUACUCUAUGCUCCAAUGCUAAGGUGUUAGCUGCUUUUGCUAUUCUUACAAUUACAGAAGGCUCACCAUCUUUAGAGCUGAUCAAAAUCAAAUUGGCAUGGUUUUUCAAUUGGCAAAAGUGGUCUGGUAAGAUUCUUCCGUUAAAAGACAAUCAGUUUCUGGUAGAAUUCCCAUCAGUUUUUCAAUUGUCAGAAGCAACAGAUGAAAAAACUAUAAAUUUUGAAAGUUUUAAGGGUUGGAUGGCACCAUGGAAUGAAAGCAUAGGUAUGACAAUUAUUGAUUCAGCAUUUUAUCAAUGGAUUAAGAUCAAGAAUCUUCCUCUGCAUUUCUGGUCAAUAGACAUUUUGAAAAAAAUUGUUGGGACUUUUGGAGAAAUGGUCAGAGCAUGUAAGAACAUCAAAGACAAGCUAAAUGGACAGGACGUCCGCAUCCUGGUCAAAGUUAAAGCAGCAGUCUGUAUUCCUCGUACAAUAGUAUGUUCUUAUACUUCUAAGGUGGAUUCAUAUACAAGAGAGGUUUUUUUAGAUAUUAUUCCAAUUGGAGUGGGUCAAUUGGGAUCGUAAGUCAUUGGCAUGCACUUAUCAGCUAUGGAGGCUCAGGGUGAUGAAAUCUUAGAAUCUCAAUGGCUAGAUCAGGUGAAUGCUCCAGAAGUGAAUAGUCCGGUGGCGAAUGUUUUACCAGAGGUUAUGGAUAAAGUUCCUCCUUCAUCUUUGAACAAAGGAAAGGGUAUUUUGGUGAAUGAACCUAUUUUGAAUUUGGAGAAUUUUAAGGACAGUCAUAAUGGUAAGAUGGUUAAUAAGGAAGAUUAUCAAAAAGGUAACAAAAAUUUUCAAUUACCUAUUCUAUCGGAACAGCUACAUAUUCCAGAGGCGCAAGUUCAGGAAAAUACUGAUAUCAGUAAUGAUUCUAUCCCUGAUACUCUCCGUGAUUUCCCCUUGGAUUUAGUCAAACAAAAAUGGAAUGGACAAUCUUUCUUUAUUGAACGAUCAACUUGGGAAGCUUUUAUUGGCGGGAAGAUAGAUUCUCCAAAUUCAAACUCAGCUUCAGAUUCAUUCCCGCCAAAUUCUAAUCAAACACCAGCAGUCCAAUCAUCUACCUCUGUUCCACCUGGGUUUACUAAGCAAGCAAGAUCUUCUUCUUCAACUCGUUCAGUUCAGAAGGUUGUCCUCAGCAAUAAACAUAGGAGCUUUCUGAAGCAAGCUUCUACCUCAAAAAAGAUGAUUCGCUCUGCUAAAAAAGGAUGAAGCUCUACUGCAAAGCGUUUGGCAGAACAAUUGGAGUCCUUCCCACUAAGCAGGGCCAGUGUUUGAAUUUUGAUCGGAUCUGUAUCAGAUCAUUUUGGUUUUUUACAUCACUUUUGUAAUUAGAAUACUAUAAGGUUUUAUGAUGUUCAUAGGAAUGUUUUGUUAGUUUAUAGAAAUUAUGUUCAACUUAAUAUACGUAUGGCUGGCUUUUGUUCUUUCUUAUAUCUGUGUCAACGGUGAGUGACGGCAAGGCUCACUCCUCAUCUUCACGGAUCUUUGAAAGAAGAAAGUUAUACGUCCCUAUUAAGUUGAAUUAUACUUUCUAUCUACUAACAUCAGGAUACUUUCCGUGUCCACCUUUU
This is an RNA transcript of Asparagus officinalis (garden asparagus), 2306 nucleotides long. RefSeq lists it as uncharacterized. Lineage: Eukaryota; Viridiplantae; Streptophyta; Magnoliopsida; Asparagales; Asparagaceae. The transcript has 2 exons. The record is from RefSeq and is a predicted model, not a curated record.